GAUGAACGCUGGCGGCGUGCCUAAUACAUGCAAGUCGGGCGAACAGACGAGGAGCUUGCUCCUCUGACGUUAGCGGCGGACGGGUGAGUAACACGUGGAUAACCUACCUAUAAGACUGGGAUAACUUCGGGAAACCGGAGCUAAUCCCGGAUAAUAUAUUGAACCGCAUGGUUCAAUAGUGAAAGACGGUUUUGCUGUCACUUAUAGAUGGAUCCUCGCCGCAUUAGCUAGUUGGUAAGGUAACGGCUUACCAAGGCAACGAUGCGUAGCCGACCUGAGAGGGUGAUCGGCCACACUGGAACUGAGACACGGUCCAGACUCCUACGGGAGGCAGCAGUAGGGAAUCUUCCGCAAUGGGCGAAAGCCUGACGGAGCAACGCCGCGUGAGUGAUGAAGGUCUUCGGAUCGUAAAACUCUGUUAUUAGGGAAGAACAAAUGUGUAAGUAACUAUGCACGUCUUGACGGUACCUAAUCAGAAAGCCAGGGCUAACUACGUG
RNAcentral lists this ribosomal RNA (497 nucleotides) under uncultured bacterium. RNAcentral's name for it is "partial 16S ribosomal RNA". It matches the Rfam family "Bacterial small subunit ribosomal RNA", at positions 28 to 507 of the family's 1533-position model. The record is from RNAcentral.